UACGUAGGGUGCAAGCGUUACUCGGAAUUACUGGGCGUAAAGCGUGCGCAGGCGGUUUUGUAAGUCAGAUGGGAAAUCCCCGGGCUUAACCUGGGAACUGCGUUUGAAACUACAAGGCUAGAGUGUGGCAGAGGGGGGUGGAAUUCCGCGUGUAGCAGUGAAAUGCGUAGAUAUGCGGAGGAACACCGAUGGCGAAGGCAAUCCCCUGGGCCUGCACUGACGCUCAUGCACGAAAGCGUGGGGAGCAAACAGG
RNAcentral lists this ribosomal RNA (253 nucleotides) under uncultured bacterium. Its description in RNAcentral is "partial 16S ribosomal RNA". It matches the Rfam family "Bacterial small subunit ribosomal RNA", at positions 524 to 776 of the family's 1533-position model. The record is from RNAcentral.